GUGUCAGCCGCCGCGGUAAUACGUAGGGUGCAAGCGUUAAUCGGAAUUACUGGGCGUAAAGGGUGCGCAGGCGGCUUGGAAAGAAGGGUGUGAAAUCCCGGGGCUUAACCUCGGAACUGCACUUUUAACUGCCAAGCUAGAGUAUGUCAGAGGGGGGUAGAAUUCCACGUGUAGCAGUGAAAUGCGUAGAUAUGUGGAGGAAUACCGAUGGCGAAGGCAGCCCCCUGGGAUAAUACUGACGCUCAUGCACGAAAGCGUGGGGAGCAAACAGGAUUAGAUACCCUGGUAGUCCACGCCCUAAACGAUGUCAACUAGCUGUUGGGGUCAAUAGGCCUUAGUAGCGCAGCUAACGCGUGAAGUUGACCGCCUGGGGAGUACGGUCGCAAGAUUAAA
This 393-nucleotide ribosomal RNA is filed under the name uncultured bacterium. Its description in RNAcentral is "bacterial SSU rRNA". It matches the Rfam family "Bacterial small subunit ribosomal RNA", at positions 505 to 898 of the family's 1533-position model. The record is from RNAcentral.